UACGUAGGGUGCGAGCGUUAAUCGGAAUUACUGGGCGUAAAGCGUGCGUAGGCGGUUCGUUAAGUUCGUUGUGAAAGCCCCGGGCUCAACCUGGGAACUGCAAUGGAAACUGGCGGGCUUGAGUGUGGCAGAGGGGGGUGGAAUUCCGCGUGUAGCAGUGAAAUGCGUAGAGAUGCGGAGGAACACCGGUGGCGAAGGCGGCGUCCUGGACCAAUACUGACACUGAGUGAGCGAAAGCCAGGGGAGCAAACGGG
RNAcentral lists this ribosomal RNA (254 nucleotides) under uncultured bacterium. RNAcentral's name for it is "partial 16S ribosomal RNA". It matches the Rfam family "Bacterial small subunit ribosomal RNA", at positions 524 to 776 of the family's 1533-position model. The record is from RNAcentral.